UGGGGAAUUUUGGACAAUGGGCGCAAGCCUGAUCCAGCCAUUCCGCGUGAGUGAAGAAGGCCUUCGGGUUGUAAAGCUCUUUCGCAAGGGAAGAAACGAUGCAGUCGAAUAAACUGCGUUAAUGACGGUACCUUGAUAAGAAGCACCGGCUAACUACGUG
Molecule: ribosomal RNA, 160 nt
Filed under: uncultured bacterium
Lineage: Bacteria
Description: partial 16S ribosomal RNA
Rfam family: Bacterial small subunit ribosomal RNA
Source: RNAcentral